Molecule: ribosomal RNA, 120 nt
Filed under: Nitrosopumilaceae archaeon
Lineage: Archaea; Thermoproteati; Nitrososphaerota; Nitrososphaeria; Nitrosopumilales; Nitrosopumilaceae
Source: RNAcentral
UAAGCCGGUCAUAGCAAUGGGGUGCGACCCAGUCCCAUUCCGAACCUGGAAGUCAAACCCAUUGUCGCUAUUGUGUUACUUAGGUGCGCGAGCUCUUGGAAAGCAAUAGUGCUGGCAUUU